CUCCUCGUAACACAGUGAUAGAGUAUUGCUUCAUAAAACCAACAGCUCGGGUUCGAUUCCCGGCGAGAACA
Molecule: transfer RNA, 71 nt
Filed under: Agrilus planipennis (emerald ash borer)
Lineage: Eukaryota; Metazoa; Arthropoda; Insecta; Coleoptera; Buprestidae
Rfam family: tRNA
About the family: Transfer RNA (tRNA) molecules are approximately 80 nucleotides in length. Their secondary structure includes four short double-helical elements and three loops (D, anti-codon, and T loops).
Source: Rfam by way of RNAcentral